UCCAUCUCUGAUUAAAAUGAUACAUUGAACAUGGGGUGGUCUACAAAGGGGAAACCAGCUCCAUUACACCACGGUGAAGGUGCAGCUGUCUUCCCUAAUGUGGCUUGAAUGGGAGCAGGGAUACAUAUUGUUGCCUUGUGGCUUAAGUGUAGCUUCAUCCACUGACUCACUGUCUGCUCAGUGGGUCUCCUGUGUGGAACAGCCUUGCCUCUCCAAGUAUGCAUCCCUCUUAGACCAGCAGAAACUGUGCCCUGCUUGGAAUGAUGGCUGGGCAGGAUGGAGGGGGAUGGUCAGUGCUGGCUUGGGAUCUGUGUGUAUUGGACUGAUCCAAACUUCUGCUUCCUCCUCCUCACUGCAGCAGAGCUGUCCACCAUGUUUUGGGUUUUCAGUAAAUGGUAGUGCAUGCUAGGGUAGCAUCUAGGGGUGUGUGUGGCGGGGGUUCCCUCUGAGGAUGGGGAUUUGUGGCUCCACAAAUGGCUCUGACCAUUCCUGUGUGCGUGGCAGCUCAAUCCUCUACCCAGCUUGAGGACUGCUGCAGUGGUUGGUCAGUGUAGGCUGCAAGGUGGGUCUGUUUCCCAUGGACACAGUUAAGCUUCUGCUCCCCUGCUGUUCAGUGAUGAAUGCAAACAGACAAGCAUAUGGCUGAGUGUCUGUGAUGCCAGCUUACUUCUGAGAACUUGAAGAUCAUCCCUGGGGAGGGAUUUUUGGUCUAAGAAUAGGGUUAACCUGCCCCUUCUGUUUCAGGUUACCCCCCACCCCCAGGCGGAGUCCGGCCUCAUAUACAGGUGAACUCCUCCUGGGGUGAAUGCCUGUCUCAGGUGAGAUGCCUUGAUCUGGGAAGGGUGCCUGGAGUGAGAGUCUUGGCCAGCUCCUGACCCAGCUGCCCAGGUUAAAGAUGCUGGAGUGGAUGGCUCCACUGCACUGAGUCAUGGCAGGUAGCCAGAGGCCUGUGGUCUGAAGUGCCUGGAAUGGAGCCUUGGAUUUCCUGCCAGGGAAUGGGCAGUCAGCCAUUGGAGCUGCAGGGCUGCCUGGAAGCACGGCUCAUCCGAGCACUGCAGGUUGGAGCAUGUGGGCCACAUGCAGCUUUUCCAUCACACCUGCCUCCAGGAAGAGCUCUCCCUGCUGAGCUGUGACAAACCCAGCAGCAGCUUAGUGUUGGUGGGGGCAGUCGGCCCCUUAGUGUGUGGUUCUGUGUGUACUGACGGUUAAAUAAAACAUCUCUGCACAGAGCA
Molecule: long non-coding RNA, 1232 nt
Organism: Terrapene triunguis (Three-toed box turtle)
Lineage: Eukaryota; Metazoa; Chordata; Testudines; Emydidae
Exons: 9
Source: RefSeq, a predicted model, not a curated record